RNAcentral lists this long non-coding RNA (646 nucleotides) under Meriones unguiculatus (Mongolian gerbil). Its description in RNAcentral is "lncRNA (ENSMUGG00000020639.1)". Lineage: Eukaryota; Metazoa; Chordata; Mammalia; Rodentia; Muridae. The record is from RNAcentral.
AUCACCGCCUCCUUGUCCCACCAAGGGCAGAAAGCCCAGCCCCGUCCUGGCUGGGCGGGACUCCAGUGCUGGGUGCCAAGGCCACCCGGCCACAGCCGCUCCCGCUCGCUGUUCGUCUUGCUUUGGUACCUCAGGACGCCAGGGACCAGAGCUACAACACCGCCACAGCCCCUCAUUCAAGUGCUGGGCCGCCUCCCAGAGCUGCAACCCUGACUCGGGACGGACCAGCGCAGCUAGUGCUGCGCAGCGCAGAUAAACUGUGACUGAAAGACCAAUGGCUGUGGACGCAGGAAUGCAGGCUGAAGACAGCCGCACUUCCCUCAGCGAGCUCUGGCUGUGCGCACUGUCCUCGGGAGUCAACUAGGAGUCCCCAGAGCUCUCUGCCCUGGACCCAAGCUGCCGCGAAGACACAGAGGAAACCUGGUACUGAGGACACAGUACCAAACCUGGUACUUCUUCAUAAAAGGUCUUCCAGCUGCAUGAGACAGGAGGUUUGUGCAGACCUUUACGGGGUGAUGAGACUAAGAGACGACCAAGUUAAGGCCUAAGUUCACACCAGUAGACCAGCGCACAGGCCCACUGAGUGGCCGGUGCGUGUGCCACUGACGCGGCGUGCGCUGCUUUCCCAGAUCCUCGGAGCCCAGGA